This 65-nucleotide transfer RNA is filed under the name Dicrotendipes pelochloris. Its description in RNAcentral is "tRNA-Gly". The record is from RNAcentral. Lineage: Eukaryota; Metazoa; Arthropoda; Insecta; Diptera; Chironomidae.
AUUUAUAUAGUAUAAUAAGUAUACAUGACUUCCAAUCAUGAGGUUUAAACAUUUUAAUAUAAAUA